AGAGUUUGAUCCUGGCUCAGGAUGAACGCUAGCUACAGGCUUAACACAUGCAAGUCGAGGGGAAACGACAUCGAAAGCUUGCUUUUGAUGGGCGUCGACCGGCGCACGGGUGAGUAACGCGUAUCCAACCUGCCCAUCACUUGGGGAUAACCGUUGCGAAAGUAAGACUAAUACCCAAUGACGUCUCUAGAAGACAUCUGAAAGAGAUUAAAGAUUUAUCGGUGAUGGAUGGGGAUGCGUCUGAUUAGCUUGUUGGCGGGGUAACGGCCACAAGGCGACGAUCAGUAGGGGUUCUGAGAGGAAGGUCCCCCANAUUGGAACUGAGACACGGUCCAAACUCCUACGAGAGGCA
This 352-nucleotide ribosomal RNA is filed under the name uncultured bacterium. RNAcentral describes it as "bacterial SSU rRNA". It matches the Rfam family "Bacterial small subunit ribosomal RNA", at positions 8 to 350 of the family's 1533-position model. The record is from RNAcentral.